RNAcentral lists this ribosomal RNA (1246 nucleotides) under metagenome. Its description in RNAcentral is "bacterial SSU rRNA". It matches the Rfam family "Bacterial small subunit ribosomal RNA", at positions 269 to 1520 of the family's 1533-position model. The record is from RNAcentral.
CAUGGCUUCGACGGGUAGCCGGCCUGAGAGGGCGACCGGCCACAUUGGGACUGAGAUACGGCCCAGACUCCUACGGGAGGCAGCAGUGGGGAAUAUUGCACAAUGGGCGCAAGCCUGAUGCAGCGACGCCGCGUGCGGGAUGACGGCCUUCGGGUUGUAAACCGCUUUUGACUGGGAGCAAGCCCUUCGGGGUGAGUGUACCUUUCGAAUAAGCACCGGCUAACUACGUGCCAGCAGCCGCGGUAAUACGUAGGGUGCAAGCGUUAUCCGGAAUUAUUGGGCGUAAAGGGCUCGUAGGCGGUUCGUCGCGUCCGGUGUGAAAGUCCAUCGCUUAACGGUGGAUCCGCGCCGGGUACGGGCGGGCUUGAGUGCGGUAGGGGAGACUGGAAUUCCCGGUGUAACGGUGGAAUGUGUAGAUAUCGGGAAGAACACCAAUGGCGAAGGCAGGUCUCUGGGCCGUCACUGACGCUGAGGAGCGAAAGCGUGGGGAGCGAACAGGAUUAGAUACCCUGGUAGUCCACGCCGUAAACGGUGGAUGCUGGAUGUGGGGACCAUUCCACGGUCUCCGUGUCGGAGCCAACGCGUUAAGCAUCCCGCCUGGGGAGUACGGCCGCAAGGCUAAAACUCAAAGAAAUUGACGGGGGCCCGCACAAGCGGCGGAGCAUGCGGAUUAAUUCGAUGCAACGCGAAGAACCUUACCUGGGCUUGACAUGUUCCCGACAGCCGUAGAGAUACGGUCUCCCUUCGGGGCGGGUUCACAGGUGGUGCAUGGUCGUCGUCAGCUCGUGUCGUGAGAUGUUGGGUUAAGUCCCGCAACGAGCGCAACCCUCGCCCUGUGUUGCCAGCACGUCGUGGUGGGAACUCACGGGGGACCGCCGGGGUCAACUCGGAGGAAGGUGGGGAUGACGUCAGAUCAUCAUGCCCCUUACGUCCAGGGCUUCACGCAUGCUACAAUGGCCGGUACAACGGGAUGCGACCUCGUGAGGGGGAGCGGAUCCCUUAAAACCGGUCUCAGUUCGGAUUGGAGUCUGCAACCCGACUCCAUGAAGGCGGAGUCGCUAGUAAUCGCGGAUCAGCAACGCCGCGGUGAAUGCGUUCCCGGGCCUUGUACACACCGCCCGUCAAGUCAUGAAAGUGGGUAGCACCCGAAGCCGGUGGCCCAACCUUUUUGGGGGGAGCCGUCUAAGGUGAGACUCGUGAUUGGGACUAAGUCGUAACAAGGUAGCCGUACCGGAAGGUGCGGCUG